Molecule: ribosomal RNA, 501 nt
Filed under: uncultured bacterium
Lineage: Bacteria
Description: partial 16S ribosomal RNA
Rfam family: Bacterial small subunit ribosomal RNA
Source: RNAcentral
GAUUAACGCUGGCGGCGUGCCUAACACAUGCAAGUCGAGCGGCAGCGAGUUUUACACUGACUUCUGGAAGCUUCUAGUUGAAAGAGAAGAUUUAUUCAAGAAUUUUGUGUAAAAUGUCGGCGAGCGGCGGACGGCUGAGUAACGCGUGGGAACGUACCCCAAAGUGAGGGAUAACGCAUCGAAAGGUGUGCUAAUACCGCAUAUGGUCUUCGGAUUAAAGCCUUCGGGCGCUUUGGGAACGGCCUGCGUAAGAUUAGAUAGUUGGUGGGGUAAUGGCCUACCAAGUCGACGAUCUUUAACUGGUUUGAGAGGAUGAUCAGUCAGACUGGAACUGAGACACGGUCCAGACUCCUACGGGAGGCAGCAGUGAGGAAUCUUCCACAAUGGGCGAAAGCCUGAUGGAGCAACGCCGCGUGCAGGAUGAAGGCCUUCGGGUUGUAAACUGCUUUUAUAAGUGAGGAUUAUGACAGUAACUUAUGAAUAAGGAUCGGCUAACUACGU